CCUACGGGCGGCUGCAGUGGGGAAUAUUGCACAAUGGGCGCAAGCCUGAUGCAGCCAUGCCGCGUGUGUGAAGAAGGCCUUCGGGUUGUAAAGCACUUUCAGCGGGGAGGAAGGCGGUGAGGUUAAUAACCUCAUCGAUUGACGUUACCCGCAGAAGAAGCACCGGCCAACUCCGUGCCAGCAGCCGCGGUAAUACGGAGGGUGCAAGCGUUAAUCGGAAUUACUGGGCGUAAAGCGCACGCAGGCGGUCUGUCAAGUCGGAUGUGAAAUCCCCGGGCUCAACCUGGGAACUGCAUUCGAAACUGGCAGGCUAGAGUCUUGUAGAGGGGGGUAGAAUUCCAGGUGUAGCGGUGAAAUGCGUAGAGAUCUGGAGGAAUACCGGUGGCGAAGGCGGCCCCCUGGACAAAGACUGACGCUCAGGUGCGAAAGCGUGGGGAGCAAACAGGAUUAGAUACCCGGGUAGUC
RNAcentral lists this ribosomal RNA (465 nucleotides) under uncultured Klebsiella sp. RNAcentral describes it as "bacterial SSU rRNA". It matches the Rfam family "Bacterial small subunit ribosomal RNA", at positions 338 to 795 of the family's 1533-position model. The record is from RNAcentral. Lineage: Bacteria; Pseudomonadati; Pseudomonadota; Gammaproteobacteria; Enterobacterales; Enterobacteriaceae.